GACGAACGCUGGCGGCGUGCUUAACACAUGCAAGUCGAGCGGAAAGGCCACUUCGGUGGUACUCGAGCGGCGAACGGGUGAGUAACACGUGAGUAAUCUGCCCCUGGCUUUGGGAUAGCCACCGGAAACGGUGAUUAAUACCGGAUACGACCACUUCUCGCAUGGGAUGGUGGUGGAAAGUUUUUUCGGCCAGGGAUGUGCUCGCGGCCUAUCAGCUUGAUGGUGAGGUAAUGGCUCACCAUGGCUUCGACGGGUAGCCGGCCUGAGGGGGUGACCGGUCAGACGGGGACGGAGACACGGCCCAGGCUCCUACGGGAGGCAGCAGUGGGGAAUAUUGGACAAGGGGCGGAAGCCUGAUCCAGCAACGCCGCGGGAGGGAUGACGGCCUUCGGGUUGUAAACCUCUUUCAGCAGGGACGAAGCGCAAGUGACGGUACCUGCAGAAGAAGCACCGGCCAACUACGUGCCAGCAGCCGCCGUAA
This 481-nucleotide ribosomal RNA is filed under the name uncultured bacterium. RNAcentral's name for it is "partial 16S ribosomal RNA". It matches the Rfam family "Bacterial small subunit ribosomal RNA", at positions 28 to 523 of the family's 1533-position model. The record is from RNAcentral.